UUAAGCCGUUCAUAAAGUGUUGAAUUAUACGUAUUUCUGUUGCUAUAUUAAGAUGCAACAAGUGGAUGUAAAAAACAUCUUGUGAACUCAGCAAGAGGCAGAUUUGAUCAGUCUUUCUCCAAUAGUAUCUGGAUGAAGACUUGAAUUUGCAAACUGAGACUGCAUCCAUCCGCUCCACUAGGCGGCAUCAGCGAGCUGCUCUUUUAGUCUGAACACCUUUGACAACAGCGCCACCAGAUCAUCACAGGUACACCGUGUUACUGGCGUCAAGUUGAGCUCCAGCAGAUGACAGCUCAGUGACAGACUCAUAAUGUCAGUCAAUAGCACAUAUUACAGCCCGACAGCGAACAAGAGCGACACAGAGUGUAGAAAUGGAGAGUAACGAGACUCACCUCAGUGAAGAUACACACGUGUGUCUGUUGUGUUUCUGCUGCACAUCUUUCAUCUUUCUGACGCUCCUCCACACACUCCUCCACAUCCAGGUGGAUUCACAGCUCCAGUAAAGCUCACACACAGGUCUGCAGUCAAACAUCAGUUCCAGCAGGUGUUCAGACAGGAGAUCUGUGGCUCUGUGGUAAGAGCGCUGCCCCAAGGCUUCAGGGGUUGCUGGUAUGAUCCCAGCCAGAACUCUGCGAUAUGA
Danio aesculapii is the source of this 640-nucleotide long non-coding RNA. RefSeq lists it as uncharacterized. NCBI's taxonomy places the organism in Eukaryota, Metazoa, Chordata, Actinopteri, Cypriniformes, Danionidae. The transcript has 3 exons. The record is from RefSeq and is a predicted model, not a curated record.